GACAGAGGGUGCAAACGUUGUUCGGAAUUACUGGGCGUAAAGCGCGUGUAGGCGGCUUGGCAAGUCGGGUGUGAAAGCCCUGGGCUCAACCUAGGAAGUGCACUCGAAACUGCCUCGCUUGAAUGCCGGAGAGGAAAGCGGAAUUCUCGGUGUAGAGGUGAAAUUCGUAGAUAUCGAGAGGAACACCGGUGGCGAAGGCGGCUUUCUGGACGGUGAUUGACGCUGAGACGCGAAAAGCGUGGGGGAGCAAACAGG
Molecule: ribosomal RNA, 255 nt
Filed under: uncultured bacterium
Lineage: Bacteria
Description: partial 16S ribosomal RNA
Rfam family: Bacterial small subunit ribosomal RNA
Source: RNAcentral